GACGAACGCUGGCGGCGUGCUUAACACAUGCAAGUCGAACGGUGAAACUCCAGCUUGCUGGAGUGGAUCAGUGGCGAACGGGUGAGUAACACGUGAGCAACCUGCCCCUGACUCUGGAAUAAGCGCUGGAAACGGCGUCUAAUACUGGAUACGAGAAGGGUCCGCAUGGGCACUUUCUGGAAAGUUUUUCGGUUGGGGAUGGGCUCGCGGCCUAUCAGCUUGUUGGUGAGGUAAUGGCUCACCAAGGCGACGACGGGUAGCCGGCCUGAGAGGGCGACCGGCCACACUGGGACUGAGACACGGCCCAGACUCCUACGGGAGGCAGCAGUGGGGAAUAUUGCACAAUGGGCGAAAGCCUGAUGCAGCGACGCCGCGUGAGGGAUGACGGCCUUCGGGUUGUAAACCUCUUUCAGCAGGGAAGAAGCGAAAGUGACGGUACCUGCAGAAGAAGCACCGGCUAACUACGUG
This 468-nucleotide ribosomal RNA is filed under the name uncultured bacterium. Its description in RNAcentral is "partial 16S ribosomal RNA". It matches the Rfam family "Bacterial small subunit ribosomal RNA", at positions 28 to 507 of the family's 1533-position model. The record is from RNAcentral.